RNAcentral lists this ribosomal RNA (496 nucleotides) under uncultured bacterium. RNAcentral's name for it is "bacterial SSU rRNA". It matches the Rfam family "Bacterial small subunit ribosomal RNA", at positions 45 to 518 of the family's 1533-position model. The record is from RNAcentral.
CACAUAAGACAUGCAAGUCGAACGGAAGUCGUUAUAAUGAUUUGGAGUUGAAGAUUAUCGGAACAAUAUUGAUUAUAACAAUGGCUUAGUGGCGGACUGGUGAGUAACGCGUAAGCAAUCUGCCUGUUAGAGGGGAAUAACAGUGAGAAAUCACUGCUAAUACCGCAUAUGCCAUGAGUAUCGCAUGAUACAAGUGGGAAAGGAGUAAUCCGCUAAUAGAUGAGCUUGCGUCUGAUUAGCUAGUUGGUGGGGUAACGGCCUACCAAGGCGACGAUCAGUAGCCGGACUGAGAGGUUGAACGGCCACAUUGGGACUGAGAUACGGCCCAGACUCCUACGGGAGGCAGCAGUCGGGAAUAUUGCGCAAUGGAGGAAACUCUGACGCAGUGACGCCGCGUAUAGGAUGAAGGUUUUCGGAUUGUAAACUAUUGUCGUUAGGGAAGAUAAAAGACAGUACCUAAGGAGGAAGCUCCGGCUAACUACGUGCCAGCCGCCGC